AGAGUUUGAUCCUGGCUCAGGAUAAACGCUGGCGGCGUGCUUUAUGCAUGCAAGUCGAACGGUUCUUCCCGCAAGGGAAGGAUAGUGGCAAACGGGUGAGUAACACAUAAGUAAUCUGCCCCUAAGUAGGGGAUAACUCUGAGAAAUUGGAGCUAAUACCGUAUGUGGUGAUGGAGGUAAUGCUCUAUUACUAAAGCCUUUGGGCGCUUAGGGAGGAGCUUGUGUCCGAUUAGCUAGUUGGUAGAGUAAUGGUUUACCAAGGCGAUGAUCGGUAGCUGGUCUGAGAGGAUGGUCAGCCACACUGGGACUGAGACACGGCCCAGACUCCUACGGGAGGCAGCAGCAAGGAAUUUUGUGCAAUGGGCGAAAGCCUGACACAGCGACGCCGCGUGGGGGAUGAAUGUUUUCGGAUUGUAAACCCCUUUUCUCAGGGAGGAAUAAUGACAGUACCUGAGGAAUAAGCCACAGCUAACUACGUGCCAGCAGCUGCGGUAAUACGUAGGUGGCGAGYGUUAUCCGGAUUUAUUGGGCGUAAAGAGGGCGCAGGCGGCUUUUCAAGUCGGACGUGAAAUCUCCCAGCUUAAUGGGGAGGGGUCGUUCGAUACUGUUAAGCUAGAGGGCAACAGAGGGAGGUAGAAUUCCCGGUGUAGUGGUGAAAUGCGUAGAUAUCGGGAGGAAUACCAGUGGCGAAGGCGGCCUCCUGGGUUGUUACUGACGCUUAAGCCCGAAGGCGUGGGGAGCAAACAGGAUUAGAUACCCUGGUAGUCC
RNAcentral lists this ribosomal RNA (768 nucleotides) under uncultured bacterium. RNAcentral describes it as "bacterial SSU rRNA". It matches the Rfam family "Bacterial small subunit ribosomal RNA", at positions 8 to 796 of the family's 1533-position model. The record is from RNAcentral.